GGCAAUGAAAAUUCCAUUUAACUCAAUUUCACCAGUCCUAUACUAGAUAUAAGCCGGACUAGUACCAAAUGUGUCCCCAAGUAAUGCAAAGGUAACCAAUUGACACCUUUUCGUCCCCAAGUAAUGCAAAGAAGCGACAGUUGUGCAUAAAUAAAAACCACAACGAAAAAACCAAACGAACAUUUGAAUGAGAUUUCUACGAACAAGAACCACUUUGAAUAGUUUUUUUUAGAUUACCAAUAAAAAAACAAUGCACCGUUAUUCUUGAGGAAUGCAAGUGCGUUUUGUUUGGAAAAAGCAUUCUUAUUCUGAUCGUUGUGAAGUGAAGUAUAAUUUUUCUGUGCAAAUAAGUUAUAAAGUGUUGAAAAUAACAAAUAAAAAGGUCAAAUCAAAAUUUUAGCUGAUGCUUUAGCUGAGUUGAAGGUGAUGGUGCUACGAUCUCAAAGUGAUGAGAUACCAUUAUCGAAUAGGUUCCCCAUCACUUAUGAAAAAUAUUGAGAAUCAAUACAUAUAUGUAAAGAUUAUAGCAUUAAUUAUAAAAGGAGAGGAAACAUCGAAAUGUUUAAAAAUGUUAUCGGUUUAAAUAUUACUACGAGUAUAAUAUUGAGGGAAACCAUGGAAAAAAGUUUGAAGUCCCUAAGUAAUAUAUACAGCGUUAUUUUAGAUUCAAUACCAGUUACAGAAUAUUCGGACACCCCUGAAACACAACUGCGAAAAGCAAUACAAGUGCUUUUAUAAAUAUUAAAUUAAAUUUAUUUUUGUUCAAGUUUUAUAGAGUAAGGUAUAUUUGUAUUAAUUUGUUUCCAAUAAA
This is a long non-coding RNA of Musca domestica (house fly), 811 nucleotides long. RefSeq lists it as uncharacterized. Lineage: Eukaryota; Metazoa; Arthropoda; Insecta; Diptera; Muscidae. The transcript has 4 exons. The record is from RefSeq and is a predicted model, not a curated record.